This 930-nucleotide ribosomal RNA is filed under the name uncultured Granulicella sp. Its description in RNAcentral is "bacterial SSU rRNA". It matches the Rfam family "Bacterial small subunit ribosomal RNA", at positions 43 to 997 of the family's 1533-position model. The record is from RNAcentral. Lineage: Bacteria; Pseudomonadati; Acidobacteriota; Terriglobia; Terriglobales; Acidobacteriaceae.
CAGGCCUAACACAUGCAAGUCGCACGAGAAAGGGGCUUCGGCCCUGAGUAAAGUGGCGCACGGGUGAGUAACACGUGAAUCAUCUACCUUCGAGUGGGGAAUAACUUCGGGAAACCGAGGCUAAUACCGCAUAAUACCUACGGGUCAAAGCAGCAAUGCGCUUGAAGAGGAGUUCGCGGCAGAUUAGUUAGUUGGUGGGGUAAUGGCCUACCAAGACGAUGAUCUGUAUCCGGCCUGAGAGGGCGCACGGACACACUGGAACUGAAACACGGUCCAGACUCCUACGGGAGGCAGCAGUGGGGAAUUUUGCGCAAUGGGGGAAACCCUGACGCAGCAACGCCGCGUGGAGGAUGAAAUCCCUUGGGAUGUAAACUCCUUUCGACUGGGAAGAUAAUGACGGUACCAGGAGAAGAAGCCCCGGCUAACUUCGUGCCAGCAGCCGCGGUAAUACGAGGGGGGCGAGCGUUGUUCGGAAUUAUUGGGCGUAAAGGGUGCGUAGGCGGUUUGAUAAGUUUGGUGUGAAAUCUAUGGGCUCAACCCAUAGCCUGCACCGAAAACUGUCGGGCUUGAGUAUGGGAGAGGUGAGUGGAAUUUCCGGUGUAGCGGUGAAAUGCGUAGAUAUCGGAAGGAACACCUGUGGCGAAAGCGGCUCACUGGACCAUUACUGACGCUGAUGCACGAAAGCUAGGGGAGCAAACAGGAUUAGAUACCCUGGUAGUCCUAGCCCUAAACGAUGAUUGCUUGAUGUAGCGGGUACCCAAUCCUGCUGUGUCGAAGCUAACGCGAUAAGCAAUCCGCCUGGGGGAGUACGGUCGCAAGGCUGAAACUCAAAAGGAAUUGACGGGGGGCCCGCACAAGCGGGUGGAGCAUGUGGUUUAAAUUCGACGCAACGCGAAAGAACCUUAACUGGGGCUCGAAAAUGUACAGGGA